This is a non-coding RNA of Podarcis lilfordi (Lilford's wall lizard), 74 nucleotides long. NCBI's taxonomy places the organism in Eukaryota, Metazoa, Chordata, Lepidosauria, Squamata, Lacertidae. The record is from the annotation of a GenBank genome assembly.
UAUAGCUUAGUUGGCAGAGCAUGAGACUCUUAUUAAUUUCAGGGUUGUGGGUUCAAGUUCCACACUGGGCAAAA